This 1376-nucleotide long non-coding RNA is filed under the name Medicago truncatula (barrel medic). RNAcentral describes it as "long non-coding RNA (MTRU_LNC000013)". The record is from RNAcentral. Lineage: Eukaryota; Viridiplantae; Streptophyta; Magnoliopsida; Fabales; Fabaceae.
GGACUUGUAGACAUAUGGUGGUGGAGGUGAAGGAGAGGGAGGAGGUGGAGAGUUGUAGACAUAAGAAAGGGGUAGCGAUGCAUAUGGUGGUGGAGGAGAUUUGUAAACAUAUGGAGGCGGUGGUGAAGGAGAGGGAGGUGGAGGAGAUUUGUAGACAUACGGUGGAGGAGGUGAGGGAGAAGGAUGUGGUGGUGACUUGUGCACAUAAGGCGGAGGUGGUGAUGGGGAUGGUGGUGGUGGGGACUUGUAGAUGUAAGAAAGGGGUAGUGAUGCAGAUGGUGGAGGAGGAGACUUGUAGACAUAUGGAGGUGGUGGUGAAGGAGAGGGAGGUGGAGGAGAUUUGUAGACAUAUGGUGGAGGAAGUGAAGGAGAAGGAGGUGGUGGUGACUUGUAAAUAUAAGGUGGAGGUGGUGAUGGGGAUGGUGGUGGUGGGGACUUGUAGAUGUAAGAAAGGGGUAGUGAUGCAGAUGGUGGAGGAGGAGACUUAUAGACAUACUUAGGUUGUGGUGAUGGAGAGGGAGGUGGAGGAGAUUUGUAGACAUAUGGCGGAGGAGGUGAAGGAGAGGGAGGUGGUGGUGACUUAUAAAUAUAAGGUGGAGGUGGUGAAGGAGAUGGUGGUGGUGGAGAUUUGUAUGUAUAUAAUGGAGCUAAUUUGGGGUAGAGGUGUGCGUGUUUUGCAUGAUGUGGGGUGUAUUGUGAUUGUGGAUAUUUUGCAUGUUUUGGAGGAGGUGGAGAUUUAUAUGUAUAUAAUGGAGUUAAUUUGGGGUAGAGGUGUGAGUGUUUUGCAUGAUGUGGGGUAUAUUGUGAUUGUGGAUAUUUUGCAUACUUUGGAGGUGGUGGGGAUUUGUAUGUAUAUAAUUGAGUUAAUUUGGGGUAGAGGUGUGAGUGUUUUGCAUGAUGUGAGGUGUAUUUUGAUUGUGGAUAUUUUGCAUACUUUGGAGGUGGUGGGGAUUUGUAUGUAUAUAUUGGAGUUAAUUUUGGAUAGGGAUGUGAAUGUUUUGCAUGUUCAGGGGUGUACUUUGAUUGUGGAUAUUCUACAUGCUUUGUAGGUAAUGGAGAUUUGUGUUUAUAUAAUGGAGUUAAUUUAGGGUAGAGGUGCGAGUGUUUUGCAUGAUAUAGGGUGUAUUGUGAUUGUGGGUGUUUUGCAUAUUUUGGAGGUGGUGGAGAUUUAUAUGCAUAUAAUGGAGUUAAUUUGGGAUAGGGAUGUGAAUGUUUUGCAUGUUUUGGGGUGUACUUUGAUUGUGGAUAUUCUGCAUGCUUCGUAGAGAGUGGAGAUUUGUGUUUAUACAAUGGAGUUAAUUUGUGAUUGAGGUGUGGGUGUUUCGCGUAAUAAUAUGGGGUUUUUUGUGACCGUGGAUAUUCUACAUGCUUUGUAG